AAGUCGUAACAAGGUAACCGUAGGUGAACCUGCGGUUGGAUCAUUAAAAAAUUUCCAAUAGCCUUUCAUGGCCAGGUGCUCCGGAAAUUUCUGGACCCGCGCGCCGUGAUAUGUGGCACCACAUUUUGUGAACCGUUCUGUCUUUGGUGGUGGGGUGAAACGCCUUCUUCGGCCUUCGCCUGUCAGCUCCGACUCUCACAAGUCCGAGCCGUGGACAAGCCACCGACCAUGUGUUUAAACCUAUGUUUGUUUUGUUUUUGUCUGACAUUUUUUACUUUGUAUUUUAAUAUACAAACAACUUUUGGCAACGGAUCUCUUGGGUCUC
This 325-nucleotide unclassified non-coding RNA is filed under the name Spizellomyces sp. Its description in RNAcentral is "partial internal transcribed spacer region". The stretch from base 1 to 46 matches the Rfam family "Eukaryotic small subunit ribosomal RNA", at positions 1786 to 1831 of the family's 1831-position model. RNAcentral also lists the same sequence under 1 other name. The record is from RNAcentral. Lineage: Eukaryota; Fungi; Chytridiomycota; Chytridiomycetes; Spizellomycetales; Spizellomycetaceae.